This 301-nucleotide ribosomal RNA is filed under the name uncultured bacterium. RNAcentral's name for it is "partial 16S ribosomal RNA". It matches the Rfam family "Bacterial small subunit ribosomal RNA", at positions 509 to 807 of the family's 1533-position model. The record is from RNAcentral.
CAGCAGCCGCGGGAAUACAGAGGAUGCAAGCGUUAUCCAGAAUGAUUGGGCGUAAAGCGUCUGUAGGUGGCUUUUCAAGUCCGCUGUCAAAUCCCAGGGCUCAACCCUGGACAGGCGGUGGAAACUACCAAGCUAGAGUACGGUAGGGGCAGAGGGAAUUUCCAGUGGAGCGGUGAAAUGCGUUGAGAUCGGAAAGAACACCAACGGCGAAAGCACUCUGCUGGGCCGACACUGACACUGAGAGACGAAAGCUAGGGGAGCAAAUGGGAUUAGAUACCCCUGUAGUCCCUGUCUCUUAUAC